GUUGACCUCGGAUCAGGUAGGGAUACCCGCUGAACUUAAGC
RNAcentral lists this ribosomal RNA (41 nucleotides) under Aspergillus carbonarius. Its description in RNAcentral is "partial 28S ribosomal RNA". RNAcentral also lists the same sequence under 31 other names. The record is from RNAcentral. Lineage: Eukaryota; Fungi; Ascomycota; Eurotiomycetes; Eurotiales; Aspergillaceae.